UACGUAGGGUGCAAGCGUUGUCCGGAAUUAUUGGGCGUAAAGAGCUCGUAGGCGGUCUGUCGCGUCUGCUGUGAAAACUCAGGGCUUAACCCUGAGCUUGCAGUGGGUACGGGCAGACUAGAGUACAGAAGGGGGCAACUGGAAUUCUCGGUGUAGCGGUGAAAUGCGUAGAUAUCGAGAGGAACACCUGCGGCGAAGGCGGGUUGCUGGGCUGAUACUGACGCUGAGGCGCGAAAGCUAGGGGAGCGAACGGG
Molecule: ribosomal RNA, 254 nt
Filed under: uncultured bacterium
Lineage: Bacteria
Description: partial 16S ribosomal RNA
Rfam family: Bacterial small subunit ribosomal RNA
Source: RNAcentral